This 1080-nucleotide ribosomal RNA is filed under the name Listeria monocytogenes. RNAcentral's name for it is "bacterial LSU rRNA". It matches the Rfam family "Bacterial large subunit ribosomal RNA", at positions 120 to 1195 of the family's 2925-position model. Lineage: Bacteria; Bacillati; Bacillota; Bacilli; Caryophanales; Listeriaceae. The record is from RNAcentral.
GGGGGAACCCACUAUCUUUAGUCGGAUAGUAUCCUUACGUGAAUACAUAGCGUGAGGAAGGCAGACCCAGGGAACUGAAACAUCUAAGUACCUGGAGGAAGAGAAAGAAAAAUCGAUUUCCUGAGUAGCGGCGAGCGAAACGGAAAGAGCCCAAACCAAGAAGCUUGCUUCUUGGGGUUGUAGGACACUCUAUACGGAGUUACAAAAGAAAGUUAUAAAUGAAGCGGUCUGGAAAGGCCCGCCAAAGACGGUAACAGCCCGGUAGUUGAAAUGGCUUUCCCUCCAGAGUGGAUCCUGAGUACGGCGGAACACGUGAAAUUCCGUCGGAAUCCGGGAGGACCAUCUCCCAAGGCUAAAUACUCCCUAGUGACCGAUAGUGAACCAGUACCGUGAGGGAAAGGUGAAAAGCACCCCGGAAGGGGAGUGAAACAGUUCCUGAAACCGUGUGCCUACAAGUAGUUAGAGCCCGUUAAUGGGUGAUAGCGUGCCUUUUGUAGAAUGAACCGGCGAGUUACGAUUUGUUGCAAGGUUAAGCGGAAAAAGCGGAGCCGUAGCGAAAGCGAGUCUGAAUAGGGCGCAUAAGUAACAGGUCGUAGACCCGAAACCAGGUGAUCUACCCAUGUCCAGGAUGAAGGUAAGGUAAUACUUACUGGAGGUCCGAACCCACGCACGUUGAAAAGUGCGGGGAUGAGGUGUGGGUAGCGGAGAAAUUCCAAUCGAACUUGGAGAUAGCUGGUUCUCUCCGAAAUAGCUUUAGGGCUAGCCUCGAGGUAAAGAGUCAUGGAGGUAGAGCACUGUUUGGACUAGGGGCCCUUCUCGGGUUACCGAAUUCAGAUAAACUCCGAAUGCCAUGUACUUAUACUCGGGAGUCAGACUGCGAGUGAUAAGAUCCGUAGUCGAAAGGGAAACAGCCCAGACCACCAGUUAAGGUCCCCAAAUAUAUGUUAAGUGGAAAAGGAUGUGGGGUUGCUUAGACAACCAGGAUGUUGGCUUAGAAGCAGCCACCAUUGAAAGAGUGCGUAAUAGCUCACUGGUCGAGUGACCCCGCGCCGAAAAUGUACCGGGGCUAAACAUAUUACC